UACGUAGGUGGCAAGCGUUGUCCGGAUUUAUUGGGUUUAAAGGGUGCGUAGGCGGCCCUGUAAGUCAGUGGUGAAAUACUCCAGCUUAACUGGAGGGGUGCCAUUGAUACUGCAGGGCUUGAGUGGAGUCGAAGUAGGCGGAAUUGACGGUGUAGCGGUGAAAUGCUUAGAUAUCGGAAGGAACAUCAGUGGCGAAAGCGACUUCCUGGACCAAUACUGACGCUCAUGUGCGAAAGCGUGGGGAGCAAACAGG
Molecule: ribosomal RNA, 253 nt
Filed under: uncultured bacterium
Lineage: Bacteria
Description: partial 16S ribosomal RNA
Rfam family: Bacterial small subunit ribosomal RNA
Source: RNAcentral